GCUCAGGACGAACGCUGGCGGCGUGCCUAAUGCAUGCAAGUCGAACGCAGCAGGCGUGCCUGGCUGCGUGGCGAACGGCUGAGGAACACGUGGGUGACCUGCCCCGGAGUGGGGGAUACCCCGUCGAAAGACGGGACAAUCCCGCAUACGCUCGACGGAGGAAAGCCGCAAGGCGCUCUGGGAGGGGCCUGCGGCCCAUCAGGUAGUUGGUGUGGUAACGGCGCACCAAGCCAAUGACGGGUACCCGGUCUGAGAGGACGACCGGGCAGACUGGGACUGAGACACGGCCCAGACUCCUACGGGAGGCAGCAGCAAGGAAUUUUCCCCAAUGGGCGCAAGCCUGAGGGAGCAACGCCGCGUGGAGGACGACGGCCUUCGGGUUGUAAACUCCUUUCGGGUGGGACGAUGCUGACGGUACCACCAGAAGCAGCCCCGGCUAACUCUGUGCCAGCAGCCGCGGUAAGACAGAGGGGGCAAGCGUUGUCCGGAGUUACUGGGCGUAAAGGGCGCGCAGGCGGUGGGCUGCGUCGGCGCUGAAAGCGCCCCGCUUAACGGGGCGAGGCGCGCCGAUACGAGUCCACUCGAGGCAAGCAGAGGGUGGCGGAAUUCCGGGUGGAGCGGUGAAAUGCGUAGAGAUCCGGAGGAACGCCGGUGGGGAAGCCGGCCACCUGGGCUUGACCUGACGCUGCGGCGCGACAGCGUGGGGAGCAAACCGGAUUAGAUACCCGGGUAGUCCACGCCGUAAACGAUGCCGGCUCGGCGUCUGGCGCACGUUGGUGUGCUGGGUGCCUUAGCUCACGCGGUAAGCCGGCCGCCUGGGGACUACGAGCGCAAGCUUAAAACUCAAAGGAAUUGACGG
Molecule: ribosomal RNA, 859 nt
Filed under: uncultured bacterium
Lineage: Bacteria
Description: bacterial SSU rRNA
Rfam family: Bacterial small subunit ribosomal RNA
Source: RNAcentral